GUGCUCACUUUGGCAGCACAUACACUCAAAUUGGAAUAAUACAGAGAAGAUUAGCAUGGCCCCUGCAGGAGGAUGACACGCACAUUUGUGAAGCGUUCCAUAUUUAA
Molecule: small nuclear RNA, 107 nt
Organism: Otolemur garnettii (small-eared galago)
Lineage: Eukaryota; Metazoa; Chordata; Mammalia; Primates; Galagidae
Source: Ensembl